GGUCUGGCCGGGUCCGGUCCCGGGCUGCGGGGUGGUUCGGAGGCCCGGCGGGGGCGCUGGCACGCGCGCCCCCAUUGUUUGGAAAUGGUGUUUGUUCGCAGACGCGUAAUGGAAAUGGUUCGGGAGAGCGUCUCGCUGAUGGUGGGACACUGGGGCAGCAGUGACUCGAGCACAAGGCAGUGCUGGAUAAAGCAGCAUCAGCCAUCUCUCUCAAUUGCAGCAGUUCCCUGCAGAGCACAAGGGUGCAAGUGGAUUUUGUAGCUCAUCUUCAAAAUCACAGCAGAAGCAGUUGCUUCUCCAGUUCAGCAUCAAGCUGAUAAAAGCACAGCACAGGAAUGCAUGCAGGAGUCAGAGCAGUGAUUUUCCCAUCCAUGAUCCAUUGGCUCCUUUGGCUCUCAGAGGGAUGCAGAAGGCUCUCAGGAGAGGCUCACUAUGUCUGUGGACAUUUUUGAUUAGUUGGGUUUGAUUCCAGUUUCGCUGAAUGAACAAAUGAAGCUGGUUCAGCAAACCCAUUUAUUGAUUUAUUUGUUUAAAGACAUGUAUUUUACAGUGAUGCCAUGGAGACAACACCACAACAUGGUUAUGUAGUGCAUGGAAAGAGAGCAUUCACAUGUGUGUGAGUUGAGGUGACAUCACCCAGCUAAGGACAUCUCUGCUUGGACUGGAGAGCUCAGUGUGCAGUUCAUGUUGGUCAAAGGCAAAAUGUUCCUAAAUUCAUAACUGAACCAGCUCUCUAGGAGUGGAAGUAAGCACAAUUCUUGAGCUGACUCAAAAAAAAAAGAAAAGAAAUUGGAUUUAUUUUUUAUACUUUUUCUCCUAAUUGCUCUAAAACAAUUUAAUUUUAAAAUCACCCCUACUGAAAAAUCUUGGAUA
Ficedula albicollis (Collared flycatcher) is the source of this 873-nucleotide long non-coding RNA. RefSeq lists it as uncharacterized. The record is from RefSeq and is a predicted model, not a curated record. NCBI's taxonomy places the organism in Eukaryota, Metazoa, Chordata, Aves, Passeriformes, Muscicapidae. The transcript is spliced from 3 exons.